This 505-nucleotide ribosomal RNA is filed under the name uncultured bacterium. RNAcentral describes it as "partial 16S ribosomal RNA". It matches the Rfam family "Bacterial small subunit ribosomal RNA", at positions 29 to 523 of the family's 1533-position model. The record is from RNAcentral.
AUUGAACGCUGGCGGCAGGCCUAACACAUGCAAGUCGGACGGUAGCACAGAGGAGCUUGCUCCUCGGGUGACGAGUGGCGGACGGGUGAGUAAUGUCUGGGGAUCUGCCCGAUAGAGGGGGAUAACCACUGGAAACGGUGGCUAAUACCGCAUAACGUCGCAAGACCAAAGAGGGGGACCUUCGGGCCUCCCACUAUCGGAUGAACCCAGAUGGGAUUAGCUAGUAGGCGGGGUAACGGCCACCUAGGCGACGAUCCCUAGCUGGUCUGAGAGGAUGACCAGCCACACUGGAACUGAGACACGGUCCAGACUCCUACGGGAGGCAGCAGUGGGGAAUAUUGCACAAUGGGCGCAAGCCUGAUGCAGCCAUGCCGCGCGUAUGAAGAAGGCCUUCGGGUUGUAAAGUACUUUCAGCGGGGAGGAAGGCGAUGUGGUUAAUAACCGCGUCGAUUGACGUUACCCGCAGAAGAAGCACCGGCUAACUCCGUGCCAGCCGCCGCGGUAA